This 354-nucleotide ribosomal RNA is filed under the name uncultured Anoxybacillus sp. RNAcentral describes it as "bacterial SSU rRNA". It matches the Rfam family "Bacterial small subunit ribosomal RNA", at positions 1027 to 1382 of the family's 1533-position model. Lineage: Bacteria; Bacillati; Bacillota; Bacilli; Caryophanales; Anoxybacillaceae. The record is from RNAcentral.
CAGGGUGACAGGUGGUGCAUGGUUGUCGUCAGCUCGUGUCGUGAGACGUUGGGUUAAGUCCCGCAACGAGCGCAACCCUCGACCUUAGUGCCAGCAUUCAGUUGGGCACUCUAAGGUGACUGCCGGCUAAAAGUCGGAGGAAGGUGGGGAUGACGUCAAAUCAUCAUGCCCCUUAUGACCUGGGCUACACACGUGCUACAAUGGGCGGUACAAAGGGUCGCGAACCCGCGAGGGGGGAGCCAAUCCCAAAAAGCCGCUCUCAGUUCGGAUUGCAGGCUGCAACUCGCCUGCAUGAAGCCGGAAUCGCUAGUAAUCGCGGAUCAGCAUGCCGCGGUGAAUACGUUCCCGGGCCUU